This 434-nucleotide ribosomal RNA is filed under the name uncultured bacterium. Its description in RNAcentral is "partial 16S ribosomal RNA". It matches the Rfam family "Bacterial small subunit ribosomal RNA", at positions 29 to 506 of the family's 1533-position model. The record is from RNAcentral.
AGCGAACGCUGGCGGCAGGCUUAACACAUGCAAGUCGAGCGGGCACUUUCGGGUGUCAGCGGCGGACGGGUGAGUAACGCGUGGGAACGUGCCCUCUGGUUCGGAAUAACUCAGGGAAACUUGAGCUAAUACCGGAUACGCCCUUUUGGGGAAAGGCUUGCUGCCGGAGGAUCGGCCCGCGUCUGAUUAGCUAGUUGGUGAGGUAACGGCUCACCAAGGCGACGAUCAGUAGCUGGUCGGAGAGGAUGAUCAGCCACACUGGGACUGAGACACGGCCCAGACUCCUACGGGAGGCAGCAGUGGGGAAGAUUGGACAAUGGGCGCAAGCCUGAUCCAGCCAUGCCGCGUGAGUGAUGAAGGCCUUAGGGUUGUAAAGCUCUUUUAUCCGGGACGAUAAUGACGGUACCGGAGGAAUAAGCCCCGGCUAACUUCGU